GGUAAGUCUGCAUAUUGCCAAUAAGAAGAGCAAAGAGAAUGAGACCAAGUACAGCUAAUGCUAUAGAAAAGAUCACUUCACCCGGGUACGUGCUUGUUUGAAGCCCCUGCCCAAGCGUACUUAAGUUUUGUAGUCCCCACCACAGACAGUAACAGUAUUUAGCGAUAAAAUUCUUGGAAGCGGCAAUACCAGAGGACAAAGCCUGUUGAAAGAUUCCAAAAUCGAACUGUUCAUUUCCAUCAGUAGGUGCGCAACUUGACUUAAGGCCAUCAACACCUGUCUGGUUCCAAGUUGCAUAACCUUCCAUGUCUUGGUUACCACAAUACAAGAAAUCUUUCCUGCAAAUAGGGGCAAUACAAUACUUCUGCCAACAUGUAUCAUUGCGUUCCACAGCUAACAAGUACCAUAAUGCUCCAACUAUAUGACUUGCAAGCAUAUAUAAUAGCAAAUAAUAUGCAGCACCUGCCCAAGCAGUUUCUGCAAAUACGC
Molecule: unclassified non-coding RNA, 489 nt
Filed under: Hevea brasiliensis (rubber tree)
Lineage: Eukaryota; Viridiplantae; Streptophyta; Magnoliopsida; Malpighiales; Euphorbiaceae
Source: RNAcentral